CAAAAAGGCCGGAGAAGAAGAGAUGAAGCAGAAAAGAAAGGUCUACGACGAUAGUUCUCUGGAGAGUUGCAGAUCUCCAGCAGAAAGGUUUUGCUUCCAUUUAUUGUAAACAUUCGUUUGCGUAUAGAUAUCCAGUAGAAAUUUCUGAUAAAACAUUCGUCUAUUUAGAGCUCAAUCUCGUUCUUCACUUGGAAAUCGUGAUGGGAUUUCGAAUGAUGUGUAAAUGAUUAAUUACGUUGAAUACUGAAUAGUCUCGUACUACUCGCAUUAAUCUCGUACUGCUGACUUUGGGCUUCGUUCUGGUUUUCGAAUGGUGAGUGUUCAAAAAGAGGCAAUUGCAUAAGUACGGAGCAUUAAGUCCAGUCCAGUCCAGACACAGUAAAUCCAACAACAAAAGUAAUACUUUUCAUUCUCCAGAGACUGAGCAUGGCAGAGAACAUGUUCUGAUAAUAAGCCGCAGAUGCACUGUCCUCAACAAAAGCACCAUCAGAAUCUGAUACCAGUAAAAGCCACUAAAUGGACUCUGUUUCAUCAAAGAGCUCUUUUGCUGGCACAAAGAAAGCUCUUUUACUGGCACAAAUGAUGGCUCAAAGACACAUCUGCAACACCCUCCAAGUUUUGACUAUGGAAUUUAAGCAAACAUCAACAUCACAUUUUCACCUAA
This 664-nucleotide unclassified non-coding RNA is filed under the name Arabidopsis thaliana (thale cress). Lineage: Eukaryota; Viridiplantae; Streptophyta; Magnoliopsida; Brassicales; Brassicaceae. The record is from RNAcentral.